Molecule: ribosomal RNA, 301 nt
Filed under: uncultured bacterium
Lineage: Bacteria
Description: partial 16S ribosomal RNA
Rfam family: Bacterial small subunit ribosomal RNA
Source: RNAcentral
CAGCAGCCACGGUAAUACGGAGGGUGCAAGCGUUAAUCGGAAUUACUGGGCGUAAAGCGCACGCAGGCGGUCUGACAAGUCAGAUGUGAAAUCCCCGGGCUUAACCUGGGAACUGCAUUUGAAACUGUCAGGCUGGAGUCUUGUAGAGGGGGGUGGAAUUCCAGGUGUAGCGGUGAAAUGCGUAGAGAUCUGGAGGAAUACCGGUGGCGAAGGCGGCCCCCUGGACAAAGACUGACGCUCAGGUGCGAAAGCGUGGGGAGCAAACAGGAUUAGAUACCCUGUAGUCCCUGUCUCUUAUACC